ACCUAGGCACACUCUAGGCUUCAUCGCGUUUUCUUCCCCAUUCACCUGUUGCGAUCUAUCGUCAGCGAGACCGCGGGGAGACGGCUUGGUCCAGCGCAGGGACUCCGAUCCAGCACAGGGAGGCCAGCGAGACCGUGGGUAGGCAGCGCGACUGCAUCGGGUGUCGCGGGGAGGACGAUGCGGCUGCGGGGAGGCGGCGUGUGCGUCGGGCCGCGUGGUUGGAGGGGGUGGCGCAGCUCUGUCAGCCAGUGUGAGGAGGCGGCGCAGCUCAGGCGGCACAGCAACCUCCACUACAUCCUGGUCUGAGGCGUGACGAGUGCUCGUGAGCUCGCCCACAAGGAGGUCCUCGUCCACUGAUCUACCGAGUAGCUGAGUCCAUCAAGAUCUGAAGGGCUCCUCCACGAGCAUCGAGCUUCUAUGAGUUUCUAACCAAACAUCUUCUUAUUGCUACGGCUACCAAGGCAAUACAGCACUAGGCAACCUAAUAGCUGUGGAGAGAUUUAGAGUGUUGCAGCCAUCAUGGACAAGGAGUGGAUGAGAGCACCUAGGUGGCCAAUCGAGUAUGAUGAAGGCCUUUACGACUUUAUAGAAUUUUCCUUUGCCAUAUCAGCCCAACAGAAUAUGAUACCUUGUCCUUCUCGUGAUUGUGGAAAUAAUUACCGGCUAGAGGCAAAAGAUGUUCGGGAACACUUAAUUUGCAUUGGGUUCAUGGAUGGAUAUUCAUCAUUGAUUCAUCAUGGUGAGGCCAUGUCAUCUGUACUGAGUCCUAGUUUGCACUCACAAUCAGAAGACGACGAUGCUGAGAUAUAUUGAUCCAAUGGAACAGAUGCUAAUAAAGGGUUUUGAGACGUAUGAUGCCCGUGCUUUAGGGGAAGAAGAGGGAUUUGAGGAUGAGGAUGAUAUUGAUGCUGAAGCAUACUAUAAGUUGGUCCGUGAUGGGAGCCAAGAGUUGUAUCAGACUGCAAGACAUUCUCGAAGCUGCAAUUUCUCAUUAGGCUCCUUACCUUAAAGAAUCGAUGGAGGGUGAGCAAUGGUUAUUUUUCAUGAGCUCCUGCCCUUAAUUAAGGACGCACUUCCAGAGGGUCAGGUGUUGCCAAAGAACUUCCAUGAGGUCAAGAGAUUCGUGAAGGCUAUUGGAAUUGGUUAUCAUUCCAUUGACGCUUGCGGAAAUGACUGCAUAUUGUUUAGGAAAGAAUAUGCCAAUGCCAACUCAUGUCUAGUGUGUAAAUCAAGCAGGUGGAAGAGUGUGAAAGGUGGAGUUGAUGGAAGACAUGUCCACAGAGUUCCUACAAAGGUGGUUCGGCAUUUUCCACUGAAAAAGAGGCUCCAAAGGUUAUUCAUGUCUUCAAAGACAGCGCAUAACAUGAGGUGGCAUAGCGAAAGUUGCACGAAAGAUGGCUUGCUAUGUCAUCCAGCAGACUCUCCAGCAUGGAAGAAUUUUGAUGCCAUGCAUGGUGGUUUAGUUCAGAGGUUAGAAAUGUUAGGCUUGGGUUGGCAACAGAUGGCUUCAACCCUUUUGGGAACAUGAAUGUGUCCUACAGUGUAUGGCCUAUCAUCUUGAUCCCAUACAACCUUCCUCCAUAAGUUUGCAUGAAGCAAUCAAAUUUUAUUCUAUCUGUUCUUAUCCCGGGUAAAAGGGCUCUAGGAAAAGACAUAGAUGUUUAUAUGCAGUUAGUGAUUGAUGAUCUCCUUGAAUUAUGGAAGCAUGGUGUGAUGAUUUAUGAUGUAUCUUCUAAUAAGAAGUUUCGCCUACAUGCUGCACUGCUAUGGACAAUAAGUGAUUGGCUUGGACAGAGAGUAUUAUCUGGAGAAAGUAUAGCAGCAUGCUCCCAUUGUCUCGUAGACACAUGCUCACUUCGGUUGAAACAUGGGCACAAGACCUGCUAUAUGGGACAUCAUAGAUUCUUAGAUGCUAAUCACAAGUUCAGAUUUCAAGCUAGAUUAUUUGAUGGUACCCAAGACUUUCGUGAGCCUCCUGUUCAACUUUCAGGGCAGGAAAUAUCUAAAAUGACAAGACAUAGUAAUAGUAUUUGGAAAACUACAAAAGGAUAAGAACAACAAGAGAAAGAGGAAUGCUGAAGCAGAGGAAGUUAAUGAGAAUUACUUAUCAAAAGUAUUCAAAAAGAGGUGUUGCUUAUUUCAAUUGCCAUACUGGAAGACACUUCUUGUACGCCACAACAUUGAUGUCAUGCAUACAGAGAAAAAUGUCUAUGGUAACAUAGUGAAUACAUUUCUUGAUGUUGACAAGAGAUCAAAGGAUAAUUUGAAUGCUCGCCUUGACCUCCAGGAAAUGGGCAUACGACCAGAUCUUCACCCACAGAUAGAGGGGAAUAAAUCAUACUCCCUCCAUUCCAAAUUGUAAGUCGUUUGACUUUUUUUACCUCAAGUUUGACCACUCGUCUUAUUCAAAAAAUUUAUACAAAUAUAGUCAAAUUUAAGUUAUUCUUGAAGAACUUUUAUUAAUAAACCAAUACACAACAAAAAAAGUGAUAUUUUGUACAAAACUUUGAAUAAGACGAGUGGUCAAACUUGACAUUAAAAAAGUCAAACGACUUACAAUUUGGAAUGGAUUGAGUACAUACCUUCUGCACUAUAUUCUCUGAGUCGACAUGAGAAAAGGAUGUUCUGUCAGGUUCUAAAAGAUGCAAGGUUCCCUACUGGAUAUGCAUCCAACUUGCAGAAUAAGGUUCUUAUCGAGGAGAAGAGACUAGUUGGGUUAAAGACUCACAAUUUUCAUAUUAUAAUGUGUGAUUUGCUCCCUUAGUUGUUAGCAAAGUUUUACUAGAUAGAGUUUCCUUGCUGCUCGUUCGUCUAAGCAAUUACUUUAAGAAAUUGUACUCAAAGGUUAUUUCUGUUAGUGAGAUUGAAAGAUAGGAAGUAGAGAUACCUGAGAUUUUGUGCCAAUUAGAAAAGGUCUUUCCUCCUUCUUUCUUUGAUAUCAUGGUCCAUUUGACUAUCCACCUUGCUACAGAAGUAAGGCUUGCUGGACCAGUUCAUUAUCGGAACAUGUACCCUAUUGAGAGAUGUCUAUCUAAGUACAAAUCCAUGGUUACAACUCGCAACCAUCCUAAAUGAGCAAUAGCUGAAGGUUACUAGUUCAAUGAGAGUAUGACAUUUUGCUCACGAUAUUUGCAAAAUACCAAAAAUCAACCUUGUGCCUCAGCAAGCCAUCUACCAUACUUAAAAAUAGUUGGUCUUCCUUUGUCAGGGCCUUAUGCUUAUGAAUUGUCCUACAUAACUUGGAUCCAAGCUCACCGAUAUGUCUUGAUGAAUUAUCCUCAUAUUAUUCCAUUUGUCGAAGAACAUCUAAAUGAGCUAUCUGCAAAUAAAAAAAAUAAACGUGAAAAUGAACGUGCCCAUCAUAGCAGCUUCCACAAUUGGUUUUCAGACCAUGUUCAAGGGCUGAUACCUAGGGGUAAUGAGAUCUCUGAUGUAAGCACCUCAAUGGGAGUGGCUGGUGACCACUCGACAUCAAAUGCGGGACAGGUAUGUUGUGCAAGCUUACAUUAAUUAUUUCGAGUUGCACAUUUGUAAAAAUUAACAAAUUUGUACUAUUAUCUAGCAGCCUCUGUAGUCUAUGGAAUUUAUUACUACCUAAUUCAUUUGAUAACAUGAUGUUUUUUCUUGCUAUACUGUCUAAUUUCUUUCCUCAACUUAAUCUAUUUAUUUAGCUUAAAUCUGAGAAGAACAAGGCCACUAGGGCACUGCAACUAAAUGGAAGGCACACCACUGGAUUGAGAAGCAAUGUAGUUGUUUUAGAUCAAAUGGUAUUUCCUGAUUAUAGAGUCAUUAGUUUUGUUGAUCUUUAAUCAUAUUGUUUUCCUUUGUGUGGUACCACCUAAUGUUCUUAAUACAGGAACUAAAGGAAGGAAGAAAAAUAGGCCGUGCUGAGCUCUAUAUAGCAACACAUACCAGAAAAAAUGGACAACCAAUUGAUGAUUACAGCUUUCAAAAAACUAAAGGAAGCCAGACAAAUAGGCUUGUUAGCAGGUAGUCUGGGCUCUGCUCGCAUAUCUGAAGCUUUAUUUGAAAUGCAGGAAGUGAAAGAAGAAAACAAGAAGCUUUGGGAUGUGGUGAAACACUAAUGUCAAAUCAAACUAAGUUGCAGCAGCAAUACAGUGAACUAAAAAGUUUCAGGCUCCCAAAAGUGCUCUUCUGUUAAAACUAGUCCAAGGGUUGGUACAGUAGAUGAGCAACAUUUGCAUGACAAGAUGAUGAUAACCAAGAAUCAAUUUCACAUUCAAAUAAGACAUGGAGUAGAAUUUGAGGUAAAUUGUCUCCAUUUGAGUUGACUUUCUGAUUAGAUGCAGUUUGUAAAUGUCUUCAAUCCUUAGGAAAAUGGAAAUGUUAGGAUGCAAAUUCUGCAAAAAAUAAAGAAAGAGACAGCACAACACACAUUUCUGAGAAAUACCAAGGACAAGACACCUUCACAAAGUCUUCCAGAGCCAUUGAAGAAACUAAGAAAGUUUCAGGCACCACUUAAUAAGCUGACUGUUGUCUUUUAUCAUGUUAGUAUUUUCUAAUCAAAUAGUAGAAUAUGAUAGAGUUAAUAGUAAUCUUUGUAGGAUGAUAUGGAAAAUAUAAAGUGUGGUAUGGAGAUUGGUCUGACAUCUCCAAAUAGUAAAAAGCUGGUAGCACUAGGAACUGUUUAGAAAACUGAUAGGAAAGCUAAAGCUAAUGAUGGUCAACCAUUGGCGGAUUACAUUGAGGUACUCGUCAGUAUUGUUUACAAACAAACAACCAUAUUGCCUCGUGCACAUGGGAAGAUACAGAAUCUGGGAAGUGCUAUUGCUCGUUGCAUACCAUGGCCUCGGCAAAAUGUAUGAUUCCUAUAGAAUUAAAAUGAUUCAUUUGUUUAUUUAUAAUGAUGAAACUUUGAACUUUACAUUGAUAUAAUCACACUGCAGGUCAUUUGUAGACAUGGCACUCCAUUGCACUCUAAGCAGGUUUGUAGCUCCAUUAGCAAAAUCACCCCUAACACGAUAGGAACUGCAGGACCAAAAAGGUCGACAUCAAAAGCUGAUGCUACAAGGUUGGACAAAGGACAAGUUGCUUCACAGGGUUUGCUAGAAAAGAAUCAAGCAAAGAGGAAUGUGAGUAAAGAAAAAACAGAGCAACUUACAUCAUCCAAGUGUGUAGAGGGCCACAAAAGCAACAUACAUAUAACAAUGUCUCGAUGUUAGUACAAUUAAAAGAGCAAUUGCCAACUGAGGAUAACAUAUAUGUAUACAACUGGAUGUGGACAUGUUAUUUUCAAGCAGGAGUUAACAUAAGUUUGGUUUCUGAACAUUGAUGAGGCUAGUACUAUGGCGGCAUAGUAUAUUUAGAUGGAUUUAGAAUUACAUAUGUAUGUAUUAGCUGUGAUGUGGACACUCUUAUAAAGGCAGCAAGAAACUUGCAUCAGGAAUGGGGACCUAAACAUCAUCAUUUGAAGAUAGACAUUUGAUUAUUUUUUAACCUUACUGAUUGUGUUUGGUUAC
Long non-coding RNA from Sorghum bicolor (sorghum), 5480 nucleotides. RefSeq lists it as uncharacterized. Lineage: Eukaryota; Viridiplantae; Streptophyta; Magnoliopsida; Poales; Poaceae. The record is from RefSeq and is a predicted model, not a curated record. The transcript is spliced from 7 exons.